AGAGUUUGAUCCUGGCUCAGAACGAACGCUGGCGGCAGGCUUAACACAUGCAAGUCGAGCGCCCCGUGAGGGGAGCGGCAGACGGGUGAGUAACGCGUGGGAACAUACCCUCCGGUUCGGAAUAACUCAGGGAAACUUGAGCUAAUACCGGAUACGGCCAUUGAUUGAAGAAUUGGCGGCGAAAGAUUUAUCGCCGGAGGAUUGGCCCGCGUCCGAUUAGCUAGUUGGUGUGGUAACGGCGCACCAAGGCGACGAUCGGUAGCUGGUCUGAGAGGAUGAUCAGCCACAUUGGGACUGAGACACGGCCCAAACUCCUACGGGAGGCAGCAGUGGGGAAUAUUGGACAAUGGGCGCAAGCCUGAUCCAGCCAUGCCGCGUGAGUGAUGACGGCCUUAGGGUUGUAAAGCUCUUUCGCCAGGGACGAUAAUGACGGUACCUGGAUAAGAAGCCCCGGCUAACUUCGUGCCAGCAGCCGCGGUAAUACGAAGGGGGCUAGCGUUGUUCGGAAUUACUGGGCGUAAAGCGCGUGUAGGCGGGUCUUUAAGUCAGGGGUGAAAUGCCAAGGCUCAACCUUGGAACUGCCUUUGAUACUGGAGAUCUUGAGUCCGGGAGAGGUGAGUGGAACUGCGAGUGUAGAGGUGAAAUUCGUAGAUAUUCGCAAGAACACCAGUGGCGAAGGCGCUCACUGGCCCGGAACUGACGCUGAGACGCGAAAGCGUGGGGAGCAAACAGGAUUAGAUACCCUGGUAGUCCACGCUGUAAACGAUGGAUGCUAGCCGUUGGGGAGCUUGCUCUUCAGUGGCGCAGCUAACGC
This 814-nucleotide ribosomal RNA is filed under the name uncultured bacterium. RNAcentral's name for it is "bacterial SSU rRNA". It matches the Rfam family "Bacterial small subunit ribosomal RNA", at positions 8 to 858 of the family's 1533-position model. The record is from RNAcentral.